AUUGAACGCUGGCGGCAUGCCUUACACAUGCAAGUCGAACGGCAGCACGGGUGCUUGCACCUGGUGGCGAGUGGCGAACGGGUGAGUAAUACAUCGGAACAUGUCCUGUAGUGGGGGAUAGCCCGGCGAAAGCCGGAUUAAUACCGCAUACGAUCUACGGAUGAAAGCGGGGGACCUUCGGGCCUCGCGCUAUAGGGUUGGCCGAUGGCUGAUUAGCUAGUUGGUGGGGUAAAGGCCUACCAAGGCGACGAUCAGUAGCUGGUCUGAGAGGACGACCAGCCACACUGGGACUGAGACACGGCCCAGACUCCUACGGGAGGCAGCAGUGGGGAAUUUUGGACAAUGGGCGAAAGCCUGAUCCAGCAAUGCCGCGUGUGUGAAGAAGGCCUUCGGGUUGUAAAGCACUUUUGUCCGCAAAGAAAUCCUUGGCCCUAAUACGGUCGGGGGAUGACGGUACCGGAAGAAUAAGCACCGGCUAACUACGUG
This 486-nucleotide ribosomal RNA is filed under the name uncultured bacterium. RNAcentral's name for it is "partial 16S ribosomal RNA". It matches the Rfam family "Bacterial small subunit ribosomal RNA", at positions 30 to 507 of the family's 1533-position model. The record is from RNAcentral.